CUGAAUCAAUAGCUCAUCAAUCAUACUAGCCAGAGUCACCCCACGUGACCUGUACGACUUAUCCAUAUCUCGUCAAUCAAUGCUAGCAUAUAAGUUGGAGUCACCUAUAAUGACCUGUACGACUUAUCCAUAACUCAUCACAUAUCUCAUCACAUAUGCUAGCUCAUCACAUAUCUCAUCACAUCUGCUAGCUAGCUCAUAACAUAUUUCAUCACAUAUCACAUAUCUCAUCACAUAUGCUAGCUCGUCACAUAUCUCAUCACCUAUGCUAGCUCAUAGCAUAUUUCAUCACAUAGGCUAACUCAUCACAUAUUUCAUCACAUUGCCAGCUCAUCACAUAUUUCAUCACAUAUGCUAGCUCAUCACAUAUCUCAUCACAUAUGCUAGCUCAUCACAUCUCAUAAUUCAUACCGAUAAAAUACACAUUAUACUGCAAUGCGAUGAGCUAGCAUAUGUGAUAUGAAUUCUGAGAUGUGAUGAGCUAGCAUAUGCGAUGAGCUAGCGCAUCACGGAUUUCCAAUCCGUUUUUCCAAAGAUACACAUUAUACUGCAAGAGCAACAUCCUAAAGUCCCAUUACGAUCCAACGGUCGGAUUUCCGUCAAUUACCAAGACCAAGUGGCAGUUAACCUUUAAUUUUAUGAACUUACAAAUCCAAUUCGGGAAGAUUCGUAUAUCAGAUUCCUAAUCCGUAAGUUCCUAUGGUCCUCAAUAUUACGUAUUAUAACAUAUUAAAUUUUGGUGAUAAUCCAACGGUCGGAUCAUCGAUUCAUGUUUUUACCAAGUAACAUAUCUUAAUGAAUUUAGGUCCAAACGAUCAACCUAUAUUAUACAAUUACCAAAACUAAACUCAAGGCAUCUAAUUUAGCCUAAGAAUAACAUUCACGGUCGCCGGGCCACGCACCGCAGCGGGUGGCGGUCGGCC
RNAcentral lists this long non-coding RNA (923 nucleotides) under Malus domestica (apple). RNAcentral's name for it is "long non-coding RNA (MDOM_LNC000015)". The record is from RNAcentral. Lineage: Eukaryota; Viridiplantae; Streptophyta; Magnoliopsida; Rosales; Rosaceae.